Molecule: ribosomal RNA, 1353 nt
Filed under: Adenomera lutzi (Lutz's thin-toed frog)
Lineage: Eukaryota; Metazoa; Chordata; Amphibia; Anura; Leptodactylidae
Description: partial 16S ribosomal RNA
Rfam family: Bacterial large subunit ribosomal RNA (bases 242-1096)
Source: RNAcentral
UACACAGUAUAGCUUAAUAUCUAAAGCACCCCGCUUACACCGGAUAAAUUUCUGUGAAACCCAGAUUACUGUGAGCCAACCUUCUAGCCCUAAUUCACCACAUGUCACCCUCACAAUCUAAUCUAUUAAUUAAAACAUUUUAACAGCCUAGUAAAGGAGAUUGAAAACCCACUUAGAGCUACAAAAAGAGUACCGCAAGGGAAAGAUGAAAUAAAAAUGAAACAAAUUUUAAGCAAAGAACAGUAGAGAAGAACUCUCGUACCUUUUGCAUCAUGGUUUAACUAGUCUAACCAAGCAAAAAGCCCUUCAGUUUGACCCCCCGAAACUAAACGAGCUACUUUGAGGCAGCUUACUGAGCUAACCCAUCUCUGUUGAAAAAGAGUGGGGAGACCCCUAAGUAGAGGUGAUAAACCUACCGAGUUUAGUAAUAGCUGGUUGCUUAAGAAAAGGACCUAAGUCCACACUAAACUGAUCUCUAUAUAAAAAUAUUCCCUUUAAUUUAGAUUUAUUCAAGUAAGGUACAGCCUGCUUGAAAAAGGAUACAACCUUCUCAUAUGGGUAAUACAUGUAACUUCUACAACUAAGUGGGCCUAAAAGCAGCCACCUUAAACAACAGCGUCAUAGCUUAAUUGUAAGUAAACCUGAUUACACUCACUUUAUAAAACCCUACACCACUAUUAAGCAAUUCUAUGCCUACUAUAGAAAAUUUUAUGUUAAAACUAGUAACAAGAAGCUAUACUUCUCUUAAAUGCAAACACACAUCAAACUGGACAAACCAUCGAUAAAUAACAUUUAUACAUUUCUAGUAGUAACCAAACAAGAAAAUUCUACUUCCCUUAAUGUUAACCUAACACAAGAGCAUUACAAGAAAGAUUAAAAGAAAAAGAAGGAACUCGGCAAACAUUGACCCCGCCUGUUUACCAAAAACAUCGCCUCUUGCCUCAUAUAAGAGGUCCAGCCUGCCCAGUGACACUGUUCAACGGCCGCGGUAUCCUAACCGUGCGAAGGUAGCGUAAUCACUUGUUCUUUAAAUGAGGACUAGUAUGAAAGGCAUCACGAGAGUCAUACUGUCUCCUUUCUCUAAUCAGUGAAACUAAUCCCCCCGUGAAGAAGCGAGGAUAAAAAUAUAAGACGAGAAGACCCUAUGGAGCUUUAAACAAAUGAUACUUACCAACCUUUAUUAAAUUUCAGAAAAAUUUCCCUAUUUUGGUAUUAUAAUUAUUAGUUUUUGGUUGGGGUGACCACGGAAUAAAAAACAACUUCCGCAAUGAAAACACUUCACUUAGUUAAGGACUACAAUCCUAUUCAUCAACAAAUUGACAUUAUUGACCCAACUCGUUGAUCAAUGAACCA